Molecule: unclassified non-coding RNA, 189 nt
Filed under: uncultured Exidiaceae
Lineage: Eukaryota; Fungi; Basidiomycota; Agaricomycetes; Auriculariales
Description: sequence contains ITS2
Source: RNAcentral
AAACCCUCACGCUUGUGAUGUUACAAUUGCAAGUUGUGGAUUUGGACUGUGCCGUAGUUGGCUCGUCCUGAAAUGCAUUAGCUUGCGCUUAUUAGAGUGCUUGGCAUUGGUGUGAUAAUUAUCUGCGCCGUCGCCUUACGCCUCUUCGGAAGUGCUGCUUCUAAUCGUCCGCAUGGACAAUAUUUUAAA